This 253-nucleotide unclassified non-coding RNA is filed under the name Turneriella sp. RNAcentral's name for it is "partial 16S ribosomal RNA". It matches the Rfam family "Bacterial small subunit ribosomal RNA", at positions 524 to 776 of the family's 1533-position model. RNAcentral also lists the same sequence under 1 other name. Lineage: Bacteria; Pseudomonadati; Spirochaetota; Leptospiria; Leptospirales; Leptospiraceae. The record is from RNAcentral.
UACGUAUGGGGCAAGCGUUGUUCGGAUUUAUUGGGCGUAAAGGGCACGCAGGCGGGCUGUUAAGUUGGAUGUAUAAUCGUCAGGCUCAACCUGAUCUCUGCAUCCAAAACUGGCAGUCUAGAGUCCUGGAGGGGAAAGCGGAAUUCUCGGUGUAGCGGUGGAAUGCGUAGAUAUCGAGAGGAACACCAAUGGCGAAGGCAGCUUUCUGGACAGUGACUGACGCUCAUGUGCGAAAGUGUGGGGAGCAAACAGG